This 676-nucleotide long non-coding RNA is filed under the name Rattus norvegicus (Norway rat). RNAcentral's name for it is "long non-coding RNA NONRATT011438". Lineage: Eukaryota; Metazoa; Chordata; Mammalia; Rodentia; Muridae. The record is from RNAcentral.
GGGAUAGUACUCAAGUGUUCCUGUGACAGCAUUUCAGAAGGAAGGCACAUUGUUAGCCUCUCAGGGCCUGACAUGUUACAAAACCCAACACAUAUCGGAUGUGCAUGACACUAGAAAACCUGAGGUCCUAGGUCCAGGCUUGGUCUACAAAGUGCUGAAUGCCCACAGAGGGUGUCUCUCCCCUCUGGGCCUGUGGGAUGCCAGGCCCUUCUUGAGUGACCACCUGGCUCCUCCAAUUCCCAGGGGCCCUGUGUGGCACAGAGAAGUGGAAGCCAGCCUUAUAAAAUUGCAGACGCCGGUUUAUUACCGAAGGCUAGCCAGGACUCUUCUACUAGCCCAGCCAGCGGAUGCCCACAAGGGUCCCAACUCAGUCUUCCAAGAGCAAGGCAGGGCUGCCUCACGGUGGAGAUGGGAGCAGUGUUCCCUCCUGGGGCAAUGGCGGUUUUCCUGCUCAGUGGCAGCCAGGGUAGGCAGUGGAUACCAGCACCGUCUUCUCAGGAGGGCACUCUCAGCUUCGGAGUCCCCAAAAAGAACUGUAGGACACGGUCAGCCAGGAGUGCCAGGCCGAAGUCCAGGGCCAGGACCUGGCCGAUGACCAGCUUGAACUGUCAAGGAGGAAGCAGGUUGAGCUGGGCCUGUGGCUGAGUGGGGCCAGGCUGCGCCAGGGCCACUGCUC